Molecule: ribosomal RNA, 115 nt
Filed under: Pogona vitticeps (central bearded dragon)
Lineage: Eukaryota; Metazoa; Chordata; Lepidosauria; Squamata; Agamidae
Source: RNAcentral
GUAAAUGUCAACAUAUAAUGCUGAACACCAGAUCUCAUUCGAUCUCAGAAGCUAAGCAGGGUUGGACUUGGCCUAUGUUUGGAUGGGACACCACAAAAUACCAGAGAUCUCCACA